CGGAGUUUGAUCUGGCUCAGGAUAAACGCUGGCAGCGCACAUAAGACAUGCAAGUCGAACGAACUUAACCAUUAGUUUACUAUUGGAGCGGUUAGUGGCGGACUGGUGAGUAACACGUAAGCAACCUGCCUAUCAGAGGGGAACAACAGUUAGAAAUGACUGCUAAUACCGCAUAUGCCUUAGAAUCACAUGGUUCAAAAGGGAAAAGAGCAAUCCACUGAUAGAUGGGCUUGCGUCUGAUUAG
RNAcentral lists this ribosomal RNA (244 nucleotides) under uncultured bacterium. RNAcentral describes it as "partial 16S ribosomal RNA". It matches the Rfam family "Bacterial small subunit ribosomal RNA", at positions 9 to 244 of the family's 1533-position model. The record is from RNAcentral.